UGCACUCAUUACUGUAAAUUGCUCUGGAUAAGAGCAUCUGCUAAAUAAUGUAUG
This is a non-coding RNA of Salmo salar (Atlantic salmon), 54 nucleotides long. The record is from Rfam. Lineage: Eukaryota; Metazoa; Chordata; Actinopteri; Salmoniformes; Salmonidae.